RNAcentral lists this ribosomal RNA (444 nucleotides) under uncultured bacterium. RNAcentral describes it as "SSU rRNA". It matches the Rfam family "Bacterial small subunit ribosomal RNA", at positions 26 to 518 of the family's 1533-position model. The record is from RNAcentral.
AGAACGAACGCUGGCGGCAGGCUUAACACAUGCAAGUCGAGCGCCCCGCAAGGGGAGCGGCAGACGGGUGAGUAACGCGUGGGAACAUACCCUCCGGUUCGGAAUAGCUCAGGGAAACUUGGAUUAAUACCGGAUACGGCCUAGCGGCGAAAGAUUCAUCGCCGGAGGAUUGGCCCGCGUUCGAUUAGCUAGUUGGUGAGGUAACGGCUCACCAAGGCGACGAUCGAUAGCUGGUCUGAGAGGAUGAUCAGCCACAUUGGGACUGAGACACGGCCCAAACUCCUACGGGAGGCAGCAGUGGGGAAUAUUGGACAAUGGGCGCAAGCCUGAUCCAGCCAUGCCGCGUGAGUGAUGACGGCCUUAGGGUUGUAAAGCUCUUUCGCUAGGGACGAUAAUGACGGUACCUAGACAAGAAGCCCCGGCUAACUUCGUGUCAGCAGCCGC